Molecule: unclassified non-coding RNA, 406 nt
Filed under: soil metagenome
Description: partial contains 5.8S ribosomal RNA, internal transcribed spacer 2, and large subunit ribosomal RNA
Rfam family: 5.8S ribosomal RNA (bases 1-121)
Source: RNAcentral
GAUGAAGAACGUAGCGAAAUGCGAUAAGUAAUGUGAAUUGCAGAAUUCAGUGAAUCAUCGAAUCUUUGAACGCACCUUGCGCCCUUUGGCCAUUCCGAAGGGCAUGUCUGUUUGAGUAUCAUGAACACCUCAACUCUUCAUGGUUUUCCGUGAUGAGCUUGGACUUUGGGGGUCUUGCUGGCCUAUGGUCAGCUCCUCUAAAAUAAAUCAGCUUGCCAGUGUUUGGUGGGUAUCACAGGUGUGAUAACUAUCUACGCUUGUGGUUUUCCACCAGGUAACCUUCAGCAGUGGAGGUUCGCUGGAGCUCACAGAUGUGUCUCUCCUCAGUGAGGACAGCUCUUUGAAUGUUUGAUCUCAAAUCAGGUAGGACUACCCGCUGAACUUAAGCAUAUCAAUAAGCGGAGGA